GACGAACGCUGGCGGCGUGCUUAACACAUGCAAGUCGAACGGAAAGGCCCUGCUUUUGUGGGGUGCUCGAGUGGCGAACGGGUGAGUAACACGUGAGUAACCUGCCCUUGACUUUGGGAUAACUUCAGGAAACUGGGGCUAAUACCGGAUAGGAUCUCCUGCUGCAUGGUGGGGGUUGGAAAGUUUCGGCGGUUGGGGAUGGACUCGCGGCUUAUCCGCUUGUUGGUGUGGUAGUUGCUUACCAAGGCUGUGACGGGUAGCCGGCAUGAGAGGGUGACCGGGCACAUGGGGACUGAGAGACGGCGCAGAAGCCUACGGGAGGCAGCAGUGGGGAGUAUUGCACAAUGGGCGGAAGCCUGAUGCAGCAACGCCGCGUGCGGGAUGACGGCCUUCGGGUUGUAAACCGCUGUCGCCUGUGACGAAGCGUGAGUGACGGUAAUGGGUAAAGAAGCACCGGCUAACUACGUG
Molecule: ribosomal RNA, 468 nt
Filed under: uncultured bacterium
Lineage: Bacteria
Description: partial 16S ribosomal RNA
Rfam family: Bacterial small subunit ribosomal RNA
Source: RNAcentral